Molecule: long non-coding RNA, 564 nt
Organism: Meriones unguiculatus (Mongolian gerbil)
Lineage: Eukaryota; Metazoa; Chordata; Mammalia; Rodentia; Muridae
Exons: 2
Source: RefSeq, a predicted model, not a curated record
UGUUUACAGUAAAGAAGGUACCAGAAAUUUAGGAGUUCAGAGCAAGCUGUCUCAACUUGCCUCUGUGCCGUAGGAAAGGCAAACAAGACAGACAGACCAUCACUCUUGAUUCCAGAAUGCCAACAAGACCCUCACUGAAGAACCUUCUUUUCUACAGCGGCAGAAAAAAGUUUCAGUCUUCCCAGGUGGAACAGCAAGCAGCCUUUCCCCACGAUUGUGCUACCAGGUCACUGGCUAGUGCCUGGAGUCCAUUGCUUACUCUUGUAGUCUUCUUAGCAAGCUGAGGAAACGGAAGCUCAGGUAUCAAGAAAUUCUAUCCUCUACAUGGAAUGCAAAGCAAAUGUCUCAAAGACCGAAAACUUUUGAGAGGAUUGUGGUAAGGAGAAAAGAGCAGGCCAACAUAACGGUUCCAUAAGUGAAGUGUCUGCCACCAAGUCUGGAGAACCGAGUUCCAUCUCUAGUCCAAGAUGUCCUCUGACUUCCACAUGUGUGCCCUACCACACUCUUGCUCUUCACCCCAAACACACCUACACACAUACAGUAAAUAAAAAUGCUUUAACAUGA